GCCCAAGUAGCACAAUGGUAGUGCGUUGCUUUCCUACUCUGCUGGAGGCAAAGGUUGUGGGUUCGAUCCCCAUCUUGGGUU
This is a non-coding RNA of Paramarasmius palmivorus, 81 nucleotides long. NCBI's taxonomy places the organism in Eukaryota, Fungi, Basidiomycota, Agaricomycetes, Agaricales, Marasmiaceae. The record is from the annotation of a GenBank genome assembly.